RNAcentral lists this long non-coding RNA (1716 nucleotides) under Struthio camelus australis. RNAcentral describes it as "lncRNA (ENSSCUG00000012441.1)". The record is from RNAcentral. Lineage: Eukaryota; Metazoa; Chordata; Aves; Struthioniformes; Struthionidae.
GGAGUUACGGGGCAUCACGGCUCUGCCGCCAGGCUCCGACCAAGGGCGUUCGUCCUCCCUCGGCUGCGCGCAGCCAGGCCAUGGGCCAGUGCACAGGAAUUGCUGAAAUUUCCAAUACCUCACGGUUCCCAGAAGUCAGAGGACAUUUCAGUCCUGGCUCUGCUAUCUCGGCUUACACUUCCUUCCCGUCUCAGCCUACAAAGCUGGCACUCAGCGCUUAACACUGCCUUUGCAAGGCAAGACCGCGGGUGGCUAUUCCCGAGGGCCGGGUCCUGGGGCAGGCGCGAGGGUGCGGACGAUCGCUGCGUUCACGCCGUUCACAUCAGCACCAGCGACCGUGGUGAUGCCCUUGAAGAAGUUUCUCCCUGGUGAAAGGUGGUUUGGGGGGAACUGUUCCAUGUGGCAGUGGGAAGAGGAAAGGGCCAGUGCCCACACCGCGGCACCGCACUGGUGGCCCCAUGCCUGUGCGCGGGGAGCCAUCCAGCGCCGGCUGCGAAUGUUUUCUGUUCUUACAAGAAAUCCAGCUGAAAACAAGACAGACUUCACUUGCCAAACGGUUUCUUCCAAAGCUCUUCUCUUGCUUUUUGUGUUUAAGCAGCAGUUAUUUUUGCUCAGAAAUGUCCUUUUUGCUCUGUGCCGGCGCCAGGCUCCCCGGAGCUCCCAGCGACUGUCCUCCUCCCGCCUGGCCUGGCUGCAUGACCGACUGCCUGCCCGGGAAAGCUUGGGAUGUGGCUCCGGACCGCUGGGCCCCCCGACGCUGGGGCCGACCCUGUGCCGUGCUGCCCCGUGCACAGGGCUGCUCCCGGGUUCCCAGGCAGCAAUCACAGCAGGAUUCACCUUGCGGGGUGCCAGACAGCCCCAAAGCCUGCCCGAGCUUCAGGGAACGGCUUGCUGGUUUGCGGCAGGGACAGCUGUGGGGUAACCCAUGGCCACCCUCCAUCUCCUCAUCCUCUGCGGCGGACCCAUACAGAUCUGCAGCUGGAGGAACCAGGGGAUUUGCCUUCAUCCCCCUUCUCCACCCACUGUUUUGGGAAGUCUCUUUCAAAACAUGCAAUGUCAAAGAUGCAUCAAGUCCCUUCUUAAAAGCCUUACAUUGGGUGGGCUGGAUUUGUGCCUCAUGCACACUGACCGCACAGCGUAUUAGGGCCAUGGAGACCUCACCUUUCCUGAGGAUGAGGGGACCAGUCCUCCCAGUUUGAACCAGUGGCUGGUACAAGUGGCUGGAACACGCAGGUCCCUGAGCCUUCCCUGCAAAAUUUCCCCUGAUGCUUAGUAUUUGGCUUGUGGUUCAUCUAAGAACCUGCAGGGAUCAGCUCCCAAGCCUGUCUCGUCGGUGCCAGCGCCGGACUCACGCAAAACCGGUAACUGCCCUUCUCCCAUUCCCAGCCCAAGGAGCAUCCAACGGGCAUGUCGCGGUGCCUGGGGACACCAAGACACAGAAACUGCUCCCGUUCCUGCACAGCUCCUGGGCGCACGUUUCCCCAAAGGCCCAUUUGCUUGGCUGUGUCUCUGUCCAGCGGUGCCCAAACCGUCCGAUCCGUCCGUAGGCCAACAGCACAACCAGGCACGUGGUGUGACACUGCAAGGACGUUGCUGGGUUUGUGGCUACUAAAAUACCAUCCCGGACUGCUCCUUCCCACUGCUAUAAGCCAGCAGGGAGAACUCACCAGCCGGCGCUUCCCCAGAACAAUAAAUCCCAGCCUCUCCUCUUCCGCA